Molecule: unclassified non-coding RNA, 220 nt
Filed under: Hevea brasiliensis (rubber tree)
Lineage: Eukaryota; Viridiplantae; Streptophyta; Magnoliopsida; Malpighiales; Euphorbiaceae
Source: RNAcentral
CAGGGAUAUCAGAUGACUUAACAGGAGACAUAGUUGCACCAGAUGAUGGUUCAACUGCUGACUGGGCAGGAGAACCGAUACCAUGAACUGAAGGCAAUGGAGAUGUAGGAUUUGAAGACUGAAAAUUGGAUGAAUUGGGGAUUGCACUGGAAGGAGGAAUCCCAUUCUGUGACAAAUUCAUAGAUGAAAUAACUGGCAUUGGUUGAACAGCCUGACCUGC